This 134-nucleotide ribosomal RNA is filed under the name uncultured Tomentella. RNAcentral describes it as "partial 28S ribsomal RNA". It matches the Rfam family "Eukaryotic large subunit ribosomal RNA", at positions 1 to 135 of the family's 3401-position model. Lineage: Eukaryota; Fungi; Basidiomycota; Agaricomycetes; Thelephorales; Thelephoraceae. The record is from RNAcentral.
GAUCUCAAAUCAGGUAGGACUACCCGCUGAACUUAAGCAUAUCAAUAAGCGGAGGAAAAGAAACUAACAAGGAUUCCCCUAGUAACUGCGAGUGAAGCGGGAAGAGCUCAAAUUUAAAAUCUGGCGUCCUCUGG